This 237-nucleotide ribosomal RNA is filed under the name uncultured bacterium. RNAcentral's name for it is "partial 16S ribosomal RNA". It matches the Rfam family "Bacterial small subunit ribosomal RNA", at positions 96 to 334 of the family's 1533-position model. The record is from RNAcentral.
CGGCGAACGGGUGAGUAACACGUGGGCAACCUGCCCUCAGCUCUGGGAUAACCCCGGGAAACCGGGGCUAAUACCGGAUACGACCUCGAGGGGCAUCCUUCGAGGUGGAAAGAACUUCGGCUGAGGAUGGGCCCGCGGCCUAUCAUGCUUGAUGGUGAGGUAACGGCCCACCAUGGCGACGACGGGUAGCCGGCCUGAGAGGGCGACCGGCCACACUGGGACUGAGACACGGCCCAG